RNAcentral lists this ribosomal RNA (479 nucleotides) under uncultured anaerobic ammonium-oxidizing bacterium. RNAcentral describes it as "bacterial SSU rRNA". It matches the Rfam family "Bacterial small subunit ribosomal RNA", at positions 364 to 833 of the family's 1533-position model. The record is from RNAcentral.
UUUCGCAAUGCCCGAAAGGGUGACGAAGCGACGCCGCGUGAGUGAGGAAGGCCUUCGGGUUGUAAAGCUCUGUCAGGAGUUAAGAAAUAUAAGUGUGCUAAUACCACAUUUAUUUGACGAAGGCUCCAAAGGAAGCCACGGCUAACUCUGUGCCAGCAGCCGCGGUAAUACAGAGGUGGGAAGCGUUGUUCGGAAUUAUUGGGCGUAAAGAGCACGUAGGUGGGUUUGUAAGUCAGAUGUGAAAGCCUUCUGUUCAACGGAAGAAUUGCAUCUGAAACUGCUAAUCUUGAGUAUAGGAGGGGAGAGUGGAACUUCUGAUGGAGCGGUGAAAUGCGUAGAUAUCAGAAGGAACGCCGGCGGCGAAAGCGACUCUCUGGCCUAUUACUGACACUCAGUGUGCGAAAGCUAGGGGAGCAAACGGGAUUAGAUACCCCGGUAGUCCUAGCCGUAAACGAUGGGCACUAAGUAGAGGGGUUUUA